This 425-nucleotide ribosomal RNA is filed under the name uncultured bacterium. Its description in RNAcentral is "partial 16S ribosomal RNA". It matches the Rfam family "Bacterial small subunit ribosomal RNA", at positions 354 to 796 of the family's 1533-position model. The record is from RNAcentral.
GUGGGGAAUCUUAGACAAUGGGGGAAACCCUGAUCUAGCCAUGCCGCGUGAGCGAUGAAGGCCUUAGGGUUGUAAAGCUCUUUCAGCUGGGAAGAUAAUGACGGUACCAGCAGAAGAAGCCCCGGCUAACUCCGUGCCAGCAGCCGCGGUAAUACGGAGGGGGCUAGCGUUGUUCGGAAUUACUGGACGUAAAGCGCGCGUAGGCGGACCAGAAAGUUGGAGGUGAAAUCCCGGGGCUCAACCUCGGAACUGCCUUCAAAACUCCCGGUCUUGAGUUCGAGAGAGGUGAGUGGAAUUCCGAGUGUAGAGGUGAAAUUCGUAGAUAUUCGGAGGAACACCAGUGGCGAAGGCGGCUCACUGGCUCGAUACUGACGCUGAGGUGCGAAAGCGUGGGGAGCAAACAGGAUUAGAUACCCUAGUAGUCC